CCUACGGGAGGCAGCAGUGAGGAAUAUUGGUCAAUGGACGAGCGUCUGAACCAGCCAAGUAGCGUGAAGGAUGACUGCCCUAUGGGUUGUAAACUUCUUUUAUCUGGGAAUAAAAUGUUCCACGUGUGGGAUUUUGUAUGUACCCUAUGAAUAAGGAUCGGCUAACUCCGUGCCAGCAGCCGCGGUAAUACGGAGGAUCCGAGCGUUAUCCGGAUUUAUUGGGUUUAAAGGGAGCGUAGGUGGAUUGUUAAGUCAGUUGUGAAAGUUUGCGGCUCAACCGUAAAAUUGCAGUUGAAACUGGCAGUCUUGAGGACAGAAGAGGUGGGCGGAAUUCGUGGUGUAGCGGUGAAAUGCUUAGAGAUCACGAAGAACUCCGAUUGCGAAGGCAGUUCACUGGACUGCAACUGACACUGAGGCUCGAAAGUGUGGGUAUCAAACAGGAUUAGAUACCCUUGUAGUC
This 460-nucleotide ribosomal RNA is filed under the name uncultured bacterium. RNAcentral describes it as "partial 16S ribosomal RNA". It matches the Rfam family "Bacterial small subunit ribosomal RNA", at positions 338 to 795 of the family's 1533-position model. The record is from RNAcentral.